UACGAAGGGGGCUAGCGUUGCUCGGAAUCACUGGGCGUAAAGCGCACGUAGGCGGACUCUUAAGUCGGGGGUGAAAUCCUGGAGCUCAACUCCAGAACUGCCUUCGAUACUGGGAGUCUUGAGUUCGGGAGAGGUGAGUGGAACUGCGAGUGUAGAGGUGAAAUUCGUAGAUAUUCGCAAGAACACCAGUGGCGAAGGCGGCUCACUGGCCCGAUACUGACGCUGAGGCACGAAAGCGUGGGGAGCGAACAGG
Molecule: ribosomal RNA, 253 nt
Filed under: uncultured bacterium
Lineage: Bacteria
Description: partial 16S ribosomal RNA
Rfam family: Bacterial small subunit ribosomal RNA
Source: RNAcentral